CCUUCGAUAGCUCAGUUGGUAGAGCGGAGGACUGUAGAUCCUUAGGUCGCUGGUUCAAAUCCGGCUCGAAGGA
Gadus morhua (Atlantic cod) is the source of this 73-nucleotide non-coding RNA. The record is from the annotation of a RefSeq genome assembly. Lineage: Eukaryota; Metazoa; Chordata; Actinopteri; Gadiformes; Gadidae.